RNAcentral lists this ribosomal RNA (488 nucleotides) under Socotracris kleukersi. RNAcentral describes it as "partial 16S ribosomal RNA". It matches the Rfam family "Bacterial large subunit ribosomal RNA", at positions 1833 to 2582 of the family's 2925-position model. Lineage: Eukaryota; Metazoa; Arthropoda; Insecta; Orthoptera; Phalangopsidae. The record is from RNAcentral.
CUUCUUGAAUUAAUAUGAAGUCGUGCCUGCCCAUUGAUUUAUUUAACGGCCGCGGUAUUUUGACCGUGCAAAGGUAGCAUAAUCAUUAGUUUUUUAAUUGGAGACUGGAAUGAAAGGUUUGACGAAAUGAAUACUGUCUCUAUUAUAUAUUUUGAAUUUUACUUUUAAGUUAAAAGGCUUAAAUGUUAAAUAGGGACGAGAAGACCCUAUAGAUCUUUAUUUUUAUUUUAUAUUUAUUAAUAUGGUUUAUAAAUAUUUAAUUAUAGAAGAGGAAUUUUGUUGGGGUGAUGAGAGAAUAAAUGGAACUUCUUUUAUAUAUUACUUUGAUAAAAGGGUUUUUGAUCCUUUAAUAUGGAUAUAAGAUUAAGAUACCUUAGGGAUAACAGCGUUAUUUUAUUUUAGAGUUCUUAUCGACAAUAAAGAUUGCGACCUCGAUGUUGGAUUAAGAUAAUAAUUUGGUGUAGUGGCUAAGUUGAGUUGGUCUGUUC